CCUACGGGAGGCAGCAGUGGGGAAUAUUGCACAAUGGGGGAAACCCUGAUGCAGCGACGCCGCGGGAGUGAAGAAGUAUUUCGGUACGUCAAGCUCUAUCAGCAGGGAAGAAAAAAAGUCCUUUGGACUUUGGACGGUACAUGACUAAGAAGCCCCGGCUAACUACGUGCCAGCAGCCGCGGUAAUACGUAGGGGGCAAGCGUUAUCCGAAUUUACUGGGUGUAAAGGGAGCGUAGACGGCAGCGCAAGUCUGGAGUGAAAUGCCGGGGCCCAACCCCGGAACUGCUUUGGAAACUGUGCAGAUGGAGUGCAGGAGAGGUAAGCGGAAUUCCUGGUGUAGCGGUGACAUGCGUAGAUAUUAGGAGGAACACCAGUGGCGAAGGCGGCUUACUGGACUGUAACUGACGUUGAGGCUCGAAAGCGUGGGGAGCAAACAGGAUUAGAUACCCGGGUAGUC
Molecule: ribosomal RNA, 457 nt
Filed under: uncultured bacterium
Lineage: Bacteria
Description: partial 16S ribosomal RNA
Rfam family: Bacterial small subunit ribosomal RNA
Source: RNAcentral